This is a long non-coding RNA of Hevea brasiliensis (rubber tree), 1644 nucleotides long. RefSeq lists it as uncharacterized. The record is from RefSeq and is a predicted model, not a curated record. Lineage: Eukaryota; Viridiplantae; Streptophyta; Magnoliopsida; Malpighiales; Euphorbiaceae. The transcript is spliced from 2 exons.
ACUCCCACUCAACUCUCUCUUUCACCCACUCCUUCUCUCCCUUUCUUCGUUUUUUCGGCCAGUAAAGGACAUCACUGCCGACGAUGAAGGCCGGUGAGUCUCCAGCAUGCUCCGGCGAGCCUCAACGGCAGCAAGCAAGACGGCAAUGGAGGCUAUUUUCAAAGAGAGAGGGAGGUGGACGCAUGUGCGAGGCUGCCACUUUCAAGCUUCGUUCUGAUAUCAUUUGGUGGUUGUUUUCGACGAGGCUAGGCCUGUUCAACUCCUGGCAUAGCAAGCUUCAAAACCCAACCAGCCUCGCCUCCAACGGUGGCCGGAGGGAGAAGAUCCGGUGAGGGAAAGUUGGAAGAAAAACAUAUGGGUUUUGAGCUUUCCGGCCACUUUUCCAGCUAUCCGACCAUCGGAUCGGAAAUCCGAGGCCACUGAUGGACUCAGGACGACGAGAUCUUGGAGAUAGGACUGGUCCCGCUCCGAUCGGACACCGUUUGAAAAAGGCGAUAAUCGGACGGUCCAGAUCGUUUGGUGCAAUCGGAUCGAGGAUAGCUCACCGGUGUCGGGACUGCAUUUUCAGCCAGAUCCGGCUGCCUGACGGUCCGUCUCAGAACAUGGUCGAUAUUAUAGUCAAUCCUAGCAUUUUCAGACGUUCUGGACGAGGUUCAGGUAUUAGAAUUGGCAUAGGUAAACCCGAACUCCAAGUUGCUCAUUUUCGGCUAAUACUGAUUUAGAAUAAAAUUCGUAAAAUAUUCGUAGAUGAUCAGAAAAUUUUAAUUCCUUUUGCAAUAGUCUUAUAAUAUUAUUAAGGACCGCAGGAAAAAAUUUUAGAAUUUUUAGAGCUUGUCGGAGUGAAUUUUUAUAAAAUGUUAAUUAUAGGGACUAAAACGUAAUUUUUCAAGUUUAUGACUAUUGUCUGAUUUGGAGGGCCCAGGAGGGGCCAUAUGAUGUGAUUAUGAAAAUUGAGAAUUUAGAAGUGUUAUUUGAAUCUUUGUGCAGAUUGGGUAGGUCUUAGGUAUAGGGGAAACUCUGCCGGAUUUGCAGCAUGAAUUAGGUUGUCUGUUGUCUCUUUAGAGUUUUAUUUUGACUUAGUACUAAUAAAUUUAUAAUAUAAUUAUUAGGUGAUCGAGAUCAGCUAUUCUCCUCCAUCCAGCAGCCACAAUAGUCCUCGGUGUACUGUGAGUAAAAUAUUAAUUUUAAUUGUAAUUUCGAUAUUAUUAUAUGUUCAAGCAUGUCCAUGCAUCACUUAUAUGUAUAUAUCUAUGUAGUUAAACUCUAGGUACGUUUUAUGUUGCAUUCACAACUGUUAAAGUGCCAUGGAUGUUGUUUGUGGUACUUUGGAGCAGUGUGCGUGCAUUGGCGUGCGUGUGGUAUAGUAUUGGAUAUGGACAGGACGGGUAGACACGGCUUGAGAUAUUCGCUGGGACCCGGUCCUUCGGGGCAGACACGGCUUGAGUUCUUCGUUGGGACCCCGUAUUUGGUGUAUUAAGCGAAAGUUUGGCUUGAGAUCUUCGCUGGCAGAGGUUGGAUUAAAAGGGCUGUAUAGGGGAUCAGCUCCCAUAUAUGUAUUGUUUGACAUUAUCGGGUGUGUGAGUACUCCAAAUUGCCUUUUUGAUGUGAUUUGUAUGAAAUUUAUAACGAUGUUGCAUUUCACUU